GACCGAGGUGCCGAGCGUUAUGCGGAAUCACUGGGCUUAAAGCGUGUGUAGGCGGAUCGUUAAGUGCCUUGUGAAAUCCCACGGCUCAACCGUGGAACUGCUUGGCAUACUGGCGAUCUUGAGCCACUUAGGGGCUACCGGAACAAAUGGUGGAGCGGUGAAAUGCGUAGAUAUCAUUUGGAACGCCAAUGGUGAAAACAGGUAGCUGGGAGUGUGCUGACGCUGAGACACGAAAGCCAGGGGAGCAAACGGG
Molecule: ribosomal RNA, 253 nt
Filed under: uncultured bacterium
Lineage: Bacteria
Description: partial 16S ribosomal RNA
Rfam family: Bacterial small subunit ribosomal RNA
Source: RNAcentral